GGGCGCUUAGCUCAGCUGGGAGAGCGUCUGCCUUACAAGCAGAAUGUCAGCAGUUCGAUCCUGUUAGCGCCCACCA
Molecule: transfer RNA, 76 nt
Filed under: Acidaminococcus fermentans
Lineage: Bacteria; Bacillati; Bacillota; Negativicutes; Acidaminococcales; Acidaminococcaceae
Also listed under: 12 other names
Description: tRNA-Val
Rfam family: tRNA
About the family: Transfer RNA (tRNA) molecules are approximately 80 nucleotides in length. Their secondary structure includes four short double-helical elements and three loops (D, anti-codon, and T loops).
Source: RNAcentral